CUUCUUUACCUUCUAUUAUAUUCAUCUCUUCUUUAUCUUUGUUGUUGUCUUCCUCUUUGUCUUUUUGUUAUACUUGUCUUUCUUCUCCUCUAUCUAUUGUCUCCUACUAUUUUGACGUUGUAUCAUCACUUAAGGUGGGUCACCUCAUUCUCCCUAUGCUACUUAAGCUCCCUCUACCUAUCUCUUCAUCGGUGAUAUUGACUUCUUCGAAGAUUAUCUCAUCAUCUUCAC
This 231-nucleotide long non-coding RNA is filed under the name Musa acuminata (dwarf banana). RNAcentral describes it as "long non-coding RNA (MACU_LNC006432)". The record is from RNAcentral. Lineage: Eukaryota; Viridiplantae; Streptophyta; Magnoliopsida; Zingiberales; Musaceae.